ACCUUGCUGAUGAGUGCUAAAUAACACGAAACCUGGGUCCAGGGU
Molecule: non-coding RNA, 45 nt
Organism: Schistosoma rodhaini
Lineage: Eukaryota; Metazoa; Platyhelminthes; Trematoda; Strigeidida; Schistosomatidae
Source: Rfam